This 20-nucleotide non-coding RNA is filed under the name Arabidopsis thaliana (thale cress). Lineage: Eukaryota; Viridiplantae; Streptophyta; Magnoliopsida; Brassicales; Brassicaceae. The record is from RNAcentral.
UACUGUUGUUCAUCCUGUUA